RNAcentral lists this ribosomal RNA (853 nucleotides) under uncultured fungus. RNAcentral's name for it is "SSU rRNA". It matches the Rfam family "Eukaryotic small subunit ribosomal RNA", at positions 564 to 1445 of the family's 1831-position model. Lineage: Eukaryota; Fungi. The record is from RNAcentral.
GUGCCAGCAGCCGCGGUAAUUCCAGCUCCAAUAGCGUAUAUUAAAGUUGUUGUGGUUAAAAAGCUCGUAGUUGAACCUUGGGCCUGGCUGGCCGGUCCGCCUCACCGCGUGCACUGGUCCGGCCGGGCCUUUCCCUCUGUGGAACCCCAUACCCUUCACUGGGCGUGGCGGGGAAACAGGACAUUUACUUUGAAAAAAUUAGAGUGCUCCAGGCAGGCCUAUGCUCGAAUACAUUAGCAUGGAAUAAUAAAAUAGGACGCGCGGUUCUAUUUUGUUGGUUUAUAGGACCGCCGUAAUGAUUAAUAGGGACAGUCGGGGGCAUCAGUAUUCAACUGUCAGAGGUGAAAUUCUUGGAUCAGUUGAAGACUAACUACUGCGAAAGCAUUUGCCAAGGAUGUUUUCAUUAAUCAGGAACGAAAGUUAGGGGAUCGAAGACGAUCAGAUACCGUCGUAGUCUUAACCACAAACUAUGCCGACUAGGGAUCGGACGGUGUUAUUCAUGACCCGUUCGGCACCUUACGAGAAAUCAAAGUGCUUGGGCUCCAGGGGGAGUAUGGUCGCAAGGCUGAAACUUAAAGAAAUUGACGGAAGGGCACCACCAGGGGUGGAGCCUGCGGCUUAAUUUGACUCAACACGGGGAAACUCACCAGGUCCAGACACAAUAAGGGAUUGACAGAUUGAGAGCUCUUUUCUUGAUUUUGUGGUGGUGAUGCAUGGCCGUUCUUAGUUGGUGGGGUGACUUGUCUGCUUAAUUGCGAUAACGAACGAGACCUUAACCUGCUAAAUAGCCCGCAUUGCUCCGGCAGUGCGCUGGCUUCUUAGGAGGGACUUUCGGCUCAAGCCGAAGGAAGUU